GCUAUACUGUACUCCAUCAUAGCUUUCAGUUUUGAUUACACCCUUCUCAGGCCAUACAAGAUGAUUUGAAAUAUAUAUUACACUGACCACAAGAGUGUCAGUUGUUGUUGAAGAAUCAUUGGACUGUGGAUUACUACGAGACUUGGUCGUUGCCAUGAUGCUUGUCAGCGAUCACACAUGUUUUAUUCACCCUGACCGUGACCUGACAGGCCCACAGGCAGAAGGGACCACCCUGAAGGACAUGCUACUUUGCUAUUUUGAUAUUUUCUUUAAUCCCUGAAGAAAAAAAAUGCAGUUGUCAGAACUUUAUUGUAUUUCUAAGUCGCUUCUUUUAUAUUUACGAAUUGUCUUGCAGGUCAGAUGAAACUGUCUCAAGGGACACAAAUGGCCUCCGGAUGCCGGACAUCCCUUUAUACUGUUCUCAGCGAUCAGUAGACACAUGCAGGGGAAAGGGAGCAUCAGCAAUGAGGAGAGAUGACAUGAAUACAGGGAAAGAAGCAGUUAACUCGAAGGCUGUUGCUGAAUCUUCUUAUGCCAUACUGAGCUCCAGCCUAGUGAUCUGUUUGGACACACUAGUCUUCCUACUGAGCUCUAUUUGACUUUAUUAAACAUUAUUUACCCAGCAAA
This is a long non-coding RNA of Scophthalmus maximus (turbot), 627 nucleotides long. RefSeq lists it as uncharacterized. The record is from RefSeq and is a predicted model, not a curated record. NCBI's taxonomy places the organism in Eukaryota, Metazoa, Chordata, Actinopteri, Pleuronectiformes, Scophthalmidae. The transcript has 2 exons.